AUUAAUCAAAGGUAGGAAUGAAACAAUGUUAACUCUUUCCCCUUGUGUUUGUACAUUGAUACGAUCUUUUUAUAGUAUCAUCUACUGUUUCUCAAAUACAAUAUAUGCCUCAUAUAACUUACAAGAUAUCCAUUAAAUGAAGCAGGCACCUUUUCUCAUUCCCUGUGUGCUUUAUAAACAUAUUACAUUAUAUCAACCAUCUCCCAGUCAUAUCAGUUCUAGAGCUGUGUGGGUUAAAAAGAAGUAGUGAAAGUGUUAUGUCAGCUGAUUAUAGAAUGGCUUUCAUUUAUCCCAUUCCAAAAAGCAGCAAAUAAUACAUAUCAAUGCACUCUUUGUAGUUUAAGACACUUGCACAUAAAUGAUUCUCUCCUAAAGUUUUAAUAAUAUACAAUUAUCCAGUCUUCUAGUCUUGGUCUGUAAUGGAGGACUUGGAAAGCCGCUUGUGUAGUUGGCCUAUCUAUUCAGAAGUAUGGGCCAGUUUGCAGUACAUGGCACUAUCCCCACUCUAGAAUGUGGGUAUGUGUUUUGUUUUGUUUUUUUAAAUGUACAGUAGAAAGCAGUGGAGCUGUUCAGAGGUGCAGGAUGAAGAGCUCGCAUAAAAAGAAUGCAUAAUAAACAGAGGAGCUAUGAAAACUCUAAAUGAGCCGUAAACUCCCAGGCUUAAGAGGGGAAAUGUGAAGUGUCCCAAAUCACUGCUGUCUUU
Molecule: long non-coding RNA, 703 nt
Organism: Dermochelys coriacea (leatherback sea turtle)
Lineage: Eukaryota; Metazoa; Chordata; Testudines; Dermochelyidae
Exons: 2
Source: RefSeq, a predicted model, not a curated record